GGGCCGGGCGGGCUCGGGGCGGCCGGGACGAGGAGGGGCGACGACGAGCUGCGAGCAAAGAUGUGCCCCGGGACCCCCGGCACCUUCCAGUGGAUUUCCUUGCGGAAAGGAUGUUGGCGGUCCCUGUGACCUGUGGAGACACGGCCAGAUCUGCCCUCCAGUGGGAAGUGAGUGAUGACCCUGAAGUGAGGACUCAUCUCUAGAUCUCCAAGGGCUGCAGCUCAGCCAGCACUUUACAAGGGUGAUCUGGAGCCAAACUGGCCUGUUGGCUGACCAUAGGUGACUCUGGGUAGCCCAUACCCAGGCUCAGCAGCAGUUGGGGAGCUGCCUCGAUUUCUGGUUACAGAAUUCCUGGAACUGAGUCACUGCAGUAAUUGCUGUGAUGAAUUGUGUUUACUUUGUGUGGGAUUCCAAACUGUAGCAGCAGUGACUACAGCUGGAAGACAGCAUGAUCAGCAGCUUCCAAGGCAGAGCCUGGCGUCAGAAAGCUGCAUUGCGCUAAUGCUGAAGCCUGUGGGAGCCUGUUGGAGAGACACUUGGAUGUUUAGCGAGCUGGUGACUCUCCUUGUCAUGAGCCUGAUCUUUUGGCCAGAAGGAGAUUAAAAAGAUGCCCCUCAAGAUGGCUGUGCCUGUCAGCUGCAUGGAGCUUCGUUCAAGUAUUUUCUGAGCCUGAUGGAUUUACAGUGAUCUUCAGUGGUCUGGGGAAUAACGCUGGUGGAACCAUGCACUGGAAUGACACACGCCCGGCACAUUUCAGGAUACUAAAAGUGGUUUUAAGGGAGGCUGUGGCUGAAUGCCUCAUGGAUUCUUACAGCUUGGAUGUCCAUGGGGGACGAAGGACUGCAGCUGGCUGAGAGGGUUGAGAUCUCUGUUUACUUAGAUCUCUGCCAACUUCCUUUGGGUCUCCCUAUGGAAUGUAAGACCCCGACUCUUCCUGGUGAAGCAUCUGAUGCACGUUCCAUCCGGCGCUCAGCUGGGCUUGAGCUGACCAUACUCCCUGGAGCCUUCUCCCGAGGUGCGCGGGUGACCUUGGCACAUACAGCCAUCAUGAUGGUACUUUAAGUGGAGGCUGAAUCAUCUCCCCUUUGAGCUGCUUGGCACGUGGCUCCCUUGGUGUUCCCCUUUUACUGCCAGGACACUGAGAUUUGGAGAGAAUCCUGUUACACCUGGGAUUUAGGCACUUUCAAUCUGAAAAAAUACAUAUCCUUUCAGCACUCUGGACGGACUUGAGAACUGUCCUUACGUGACCUAAAGCUGGAGUAUUUUGAGAUUGGAGAAUUAAGAGUGUGGGCACCCUGGCUUCAAGCUCACGAGAAACCAGAAGGAAGUCACUGUGCAUAGCCAUCCCCUAAGAAGAGGGCAUUCCUGCUCUUCCUUCUCCAUGGCUAGAGGAUCUACAUGAACUAUUUAGAUUUUUUCUACCUGGGAGAUUUAACUCCUCUCUCCUAUUUAUUUAUUUAUAUAUCAGCAUGGACUUGCAGGCCAACAGAGAUUUUGAGAAACACAUUGAAGGAUCUGUUAACACUUGAUAUACCCAAUAAAAGCAGUGGUUGUGCCAGUGCUGAUCUGUCUUGAUGUGAAUGUGAACAAUGGGAACCUGAGCUGAGCAGUUAAUGCUAGGGUGACAGAAACUGGACCUCUCCCAAGACAUGUGACAGAGUAAUACAGCAGCCAACUUCUUCGCCAAAUUAAAGUUUUACAAGAUUUAACCUGUCAUCAAGACCUGGGAUUUUGGUGAAGGACAGAAUAACGGGCUCCCAGAUUCACAAGCCCCACCAAGAGGAUCACCCCAGGAACGCUUGGAGGCUGAGGAGUUCACUGAGGCUACUGCAUCUUGAGACUCAGGAUGAAGACCCAGCUUGGGGCUGUCAAAGGUUUUUUGCAUGUCUGACACCCAUGACUCCACCUGGACCUUAUGGCUCCACCCAGAAGCAAUUCAGCCCAACAGGAGGACAGCUUCAACCCAUUACGAUUUCAUCUCUGCCCCAACCACUCAGCAGCAAGCACCUGUUACCUGUCCACCCCCACCCCUUCCCCCAAACUGCCUUUGAAAAAUCCCUAACCUAUGAGCUUUGAAUAAGAUGAGUACGAACUUCAUCGCCCACGUGGCGUGGCCGGCCUCGUGUCUAUUAAAUUCUUUUUCUACUAC
Molecule: long non-coding RNA, 2149 nt
Organism: Homo sapiens (human)
Lineage: Eukaryota; Metazoa; Chordata; Mammalia; Primates; Hominidae
Gene: PVT1
Product: Pvt1 oncogene
Source: Ensembl